Long non-coding RNA from Misgurnus anguillicaudatus (oriental weatherfish), 1058 nucleotides. RefSeq lists it as uncharacterized. The record is from RefSeq and is a predicted model, not a curated record. NCBI's taxonomy places the organism in Eukaryota, Metazoa, Chordata, Actinopteri, Cypriniformes, Cobitidae.
AAAUGUCACAGUAAACAAGCGCUCACGAGAGCCAAAAGCAAAGGUCUUAAAAAGAGGGCAGUGAAUCGCUCGUUUUGCUGCUGAGUCAACCAGAGGCGUUUUUAAGUGACACCACUUAAAAACCAUCCAAGGAACACUUUGCCAUUUCACUGCGAACAUGAAGAUUGCUCUGGCCAUCUGGCUGUCUUGGGAAGCGCAAGCAUGCAAUUUGAAUCAGUGGGGGUUUCUGACGGCUGCAACCUACAACAGUAGUGGUGAGCAGGGCAGAGGAUCCCUACAGAGUGUAAACAAUGUAAGCCGUCUGCCGUCGUUCCACAUGGUAGUCCUGGAUUUCUCUCUACCUUCAUUCAGCUCACUUCAGCAGAGUGGCAUGAUAUCCCCGGGGUCCCACCGAGCUGUGGCUAUAUAUAGAGCACUCCUAAAUCACAACCUGUAGAUACAGUAGAUAUGCACACUCACGCUCGGCAGACAUUCAAUAUGAAAUCGUGACCUUAGAUAACUAUCAACAUCUCAUGGAACGCAAGGUUUCAGUGACUCCUCAGUUUCCAGUUGUAGAAACUAUGGCAACCCGAGUGGACAAAUGCGGAAGUGGAGAUGCAAACAGGCAGGGGUAGGCGAGAGCGCCAACAGACAGAUGGUCCAGAAGACAUUACGGGCCACAGCCGAUCCUGUGUGUCUGCAUAUGUUUGGAGCGUUCCAGAAGAGACUGUCUCUUUGCACUACACCUGCCGAUCUGGACAGAAAGUCUUACCAUCUGGAUGUGAUGGUGGCAGAGCUAAAUAAAGGAAAGACGGCGUAAAUUAUGCAACGCUGGCAGAGUAAUAUAAACUUUAAAAAUGUUAGUCUCAGCUAAAAAUGCUGAAUUGCUUUCAGCGAUGUUUAUGUGUAUGUAGCAAAAUGAAUGUCUGUGAUUACGAAACUGGAGAUAUAACACUAAUGGUUUUCUUAUAUACUCUAUAUAACUAAUAAAUCUCUGUGACUAAAUUUCUGAAUGUCCUGUGAGUGAUUCAUGGGUUAUUCAGAUUAUUACAUUACAUUAUAUUUUUACUUCCAAAGUG